Molecule: ribosomal RNA, 253 nt
Filed under: uncultured bacterium
Lineage: Bacteria
Description: partial 16S ribosomal RNA
Rfam family: Bacterial small subunit ribosomal RNA
Source: RNAcentral
UACGAAGGGGGCUAGCGUUGCUCGGAAUCACUGGGCGUAAAGGGUGCGUAGGCGGGUCUUUAAGUCAGGGGUGAAAUCCUGGAGCUCAACUCCAGAACUGCCUUUGAUACUGAAGAUCUUGAGUUCGGGAGAGGUGAGUGGAACUGCGAGUGUAGAGGUGAAAUUCGUAGAUAUUCGCAAGAACACCAGUGGCGAAGGCGGCUCGCUGGGACGUAACUGACGCUGAGACGCGAAAGCGUGGGGAGCAAACAGG